UACGUAGGGAGCAAGCGUUGCGUCGGUAUUUACGUGGGACGGUAAAGGGCGCGUAGGCGGCGCGGUAAGUCACUUGUAGAAAUCUCUGAGCUUAACUCAGAACGGCCAAGUGAUACUGCAGUGCUAGAGUGCAGAAGGGGCAAUCGGAAUUCUUGGUGUAGCGGUGAAAUGCGUAGAUAUCAAGAGGAACACCUGAGGUGAAGACGGGUUGCUAGGCUGACACUGGCGCUGAGGCGCGAAAGCUA
This 245-nucleotide ribosomal RNA is filed under the name uncultured bacterium. Its description in RNAcentral is "partial 16S ribosomal RNA". It matches the Rfam family "Bacterial small subunit ribosomal RNA", at positions 524 to 762 of the family's 1533-position model. The record is from RNAcentral.